RNAcentral lists this transfer RNA (65 nucleotides) under Sylvicola fenestralis. RNAcentral describes it as "tRNA-Pro". The record is from RNAcentral. Lineage: Eukaryota; Metazoa; Arthropoda; Insecta; Diptera; Anisopodidae.
CAAGAAGUAGUUUAUAUAAAAUAUUAAUUUUGGAGAUUAAUGAUAGAGAGCUUCUCUCUUCUUGA